This 440-nucleotide ribosomal RNA is filed under the name uncultured bacterium. Its description in RNAcentral is "partial 16S ribosomal RNA". It matches the Rfam family "Bacterial small subunit ribosomal RNA", at positions 338 to 795 of the family's 1533-position model. The record is from RNAcentral.
CCUACGGGAGGCAGCAGUGGGGAAUAUUGCACAAUGGGGGAAACCCUGAUGCAGCGACGCCGCGUGAAGGAAGAAGUAUUUCGGUAUGUAAACUUCUAUCAGCAGGGAAGAAAAUGACGGUACCUGACUAAGAAGUCCCGGCUAACUACGUGCCAGCUGCCGCGGUAAUACGGAGGGGGCAAGCGUUAUCCGGAUUUACUGGGGGUAAAGGGAGCGUAGGAGGUUUCGCAAGUCAGAAUUGAAAGCCCGGGGCUCAACUCCGGGACUGCUUUUGAAACUGUUGAACUAGAUUGCAGGAGAGGUAAUUGGAAUUCCUCGUGUAGCGGUGAAAUGCGUAGCUAUUAGGAGGAACCCCAGUGGCGACGGCGGCUUACUGGACUGUACAUGACGCUGAGGCUCGAAAGCGUGGGGAGCAAACAGGAUUAGAUACCCGAGUAGUC